Molecule: long non-coding RNA, 357 nt
Organism: Magnolia sinica
Lineage: Eukaryota; Viridiplantae; Streptophyta; Magnoliopsida; Magnoliales; Magnoliaceae
Exons: 3
Source: RefSeq, a predicted model, not a curated record
GGUAGCGGCUGAACAGGAGAAGCGUGAAAAGGAGGAAUCUUUUUCUUUUUUCUUUUGCUGAAUAAGAACUCAUCAUGGAAAGGGUGGUCCAAGAGUCAAAGAAACUUCAGCAGGAAGCAGAGGAGAAUGCGAAGGUAAUGAUAAAGCUACGGGAGUUCUUAAUGGACCGUGGUCGUGUUGUCGAUGUAUUGCAGAUUGCCUCAAGUUCUUAAAAGAAAUACCUUCUGCAGCAACAAAUGAUGCAUCUACCAAUCCUUUCCAACAUUCCAGCUCUAUCAUGAAUCUUUAUCUAGAGACAAGUUUUACUCUUUUGAAGGUUUUUACUUCCAAAAUUUCUUUUUCUAUUACCUAUACAUA